This 1244-nucleotide ribosomal RNA is filed under the name Phytoplasma sp. BN-Op261. Its description in RNAcentral is "bacterial SSU rRNA". It matches the Rfam family "Bacterial small subunit ribosomal RNA", at positions 153 to 1399 of the family's 1533-position model. Lineage: Bacteria; Bacillati; Mycoplasmatota; Mollicutes; Acholeplasmatales; Acholeplasmataceae. The record is from RNAcentral.
GAAACGACUGCUAAGACUGGAUAGGAGAUAAGAAGGCAUCUUUUUAUUUUUAAAAGACCUAGCAAUAGGUAUGCUUAGGGAAGAGCUUGCGUCACAUUAGUUAGUUGGUGGGGUAAUGGCCUACCAAGACGAUGAUGUGUAGCCGGGCUGAGAGGUCGAACGGCCACAUUGGGACUGAGACACGGCCCAAACUCCUACGGGAGGCAGCAGUAAGGAAUUUUCGGCAAUGGAGGAAACUCUGACCGAGCAAUGCCGCGUGAACGAUGAAGUAUUUCGGUACGUAAAGUUCUUUUAUUAGGAAAGAAAAGAUGGUGGAAAAACCAUUAUGACGGUACCUAAUGAAUAAGCCCCGGCUAACUAUGUGCCAGCAGCCGCGGUAAUACAUAGGGGGCAAGCGUUAUCCGGAAUUAUUGGGCGUAAAGGGUGCGUAGGCGGUUAAAUAAGUUUAUGGUCUAAGUGCAACGCUCAACGUUGUGAUGCUAUAAAAACUGUUUAGCUAGAGUUGGAUAGAGGCAAGUGGAAUUCCGUGUGUAGUGGUAAAAUGCGUAAAUAUACGGAGGAACACCAGAAGCGAAGGCGGCUUGCUGGGUCUUAACUGACGCUGAGGCACGAAAGCGUGGGGAGCAAACAGGAUUAGAUACCCUGGUAGUCCACGCCCUAAACGAUGAGUACUAAACGUUGGAUAAAACCAGUGUUGAAGUUAACACAUUAAGUACUCCGCCUGAGUAGUACGUACGCAAGUAUGAAACUUAAAGGAAUUGACGGGACUCCGCACAAGCGGUGGAUCAUGUUGUUUAAUUCGAAGGUACCCGAAAAACCUCACCAGGUCUUGACAUGCUUUUGCAAAGCUGUAGAAAUACAGUGGAGGUUAUCAAAAGCACAGGUGGUGCAUGGUUGUCGUCAGCUCGUGUCGUGAGAUGUUGGGUUAAGUCCCGCAACGAGCGCAACCCUUGUUGUUAAUUGCCAUCAUUAAGUUGGGGACUUUAGCAAGACUGCCAAUGAUAAAUUGGAGGAAGGUGGGGACGACGUCAAAUCAUCAUGCCCCUUAUGACCUGGGCUACAAACGUGAUACAAUGGCUGUUACAAAGGGUAGCUAAAGCGUAAGCUUCUGGCGAAUCUCAAAAAAGCAGUCUCAGUUCGGAUUGAAGUCUGCAACUCGACUUCAUGAAGUUGGAAUCGCUAGUAAUCGCGAAUCAGCAUGUCGCGGUGAAUACGUUCGCGGGGUUUGUACACACCGCCCGUCA